AUCCACACAAGUCUUGCUGCAGCUGCAUUUUGUCUCUCCCAAUGAUAUUGGGAGAGGUUAGUCGUUUCUGCCUUUUGUUUAUACUGUGUAAUAAAACCUCUCCAAAAAGUGCAAGUCUCAUCUCGCCUCCCAAUUAUUAGCAUCUCGCCUCACAACACAACGACGACGACGAUACACAGAUCGUCUCUGUUGGAUUUCGAAAGAUAUUGAUUUCUUAAUUUUAAUUCCCGCUGGCACAUUUUCUUUGUGUGAAUUUACUGCGUACGUGCACAGCCAACGUUUUUAUUUUACUCUUUACUCAGACUUUGAAGUAGCAAGUUACGUUUUUUAGGCUCUUCUUAGUGAUUAAAUUGUCAUUGUCUUGUUAAGUUAAAAUUGCAUUUGAGUGAUUUAAAAUAAAGUAGUGUCCUGCCAGGAGGAAAUAA
Molecule: long non-coding RNA, 425 nt
Organism: Folsomia candida
Lineage: Eukaryota; Metazoa; Arthropoda; Collembola; Entomobryomorpha; Isotomidae
Exons: 2
Source: RefSeq, a predicted model, not a curated record